This 583-nucleotide ribosomal RNA is filed under the name uncultured bacterium. RNAcentral describes it as "partial 16S ribosomal RNA". It matches the Rfam family "Bacterial small subunit ribosomal RNA", at positions 357 to 1375 of the family's 1533-position model. The record is from RNAcentral.
UGGGAAUUUGGACAAUGGGCGAAAGCCUGAUCCAGCAAUGCCGCGUGUGUGAAGAAGGCCUUCGGGUUGUAAAGCACUUUUGUCCGGAAAGAAAUCCUUGGCUCUAAUACAGUCGGGGGAUGACGGUACCGGAAGAAUAAGCACCGGCUAACUACGUGCCAGCAGCCGCGGUAAUACGUAGGGUGCAAGCGUUAAUCGGAAUUACUGGGCGUAAAGCGUGCGCAGGCGGUUUGCUAAGACCGAUGUGAAAUCCCCGGGCUCAACCUGGGAACUGCAUUGGUGACUGGCAGGCUAGAGUAUGGCAGAGGGGGGUAGAAUUCCACGUGUAGCAGUGAAAUGCGUAGAGAUGUGGAGGAAUACCGAUGGCGAAGGCAGCCCCCUGGGCCAAUACUGACGCUCAUGCACGAAAGCGUGGGGAGCAAACAGGAUUAGAUACCCUGGUAGUCCACGCCCUAAACGAUGCCAACUAGUUGUUGGGGAUUCAUUUCCUUAGUAACGUAGCUAACGCGUGAAGUUGACCGCCUGGGGAGUACGGUCGCAAGAUUAAAACUCAAAUGAAUUGACGGGGUCAUAGCUGUUUCCU